Molecule: RNase P RNA, 334 nt
Filed under: human gut metagenome
Description: Bacterial RNase P class A
Rfam family: Bacterial RNase P class A
About the family: Ribonuclease P (RNase P) is a ubiquitous endoribonuclease, found in archaea, bacteria and eukarya as well as chloroplasts and mitochondria.
Source: RNAcentral
GGCUUGAUGAUCGCGGGCGCAGCGCCGAAAGGACGCGUCUGAGGAAAGUCCGGGCUCCAUAGGGCAGGGUGCCGGGUAACACCCGGUGGAGGCAACUCCAAGGAAAGUGCAACAGAAAAUAACCGCAUGCCGCACAGGCGUGUAAGGAUGAAAAGGCGAGGUAAGAGCUCACCGGCGCCGGGGUAAUUCGGCGGCCGUGUAAACCCCAUCCGGAGCAACACCGCAUAUGAGACACUGCGUUGGCCCGACGGUCUCAGAGGUGGCAGGAACCGUACAGUAAUGUACGGUCUAGAUAGAUGAUCAUCCACGACAGAACCCGGCUUACGGCCUGCUU